This 305-nucleotide ribosomal RNA is filed under the name uncultured bacterium. Its description in RNAcentral is "bacterial SSU rRNA". It matches the Rfam family "Bacterial small subunit ribosomal RNA", at positions 334 to 637 of the family's 1533-position model. The record is from RNAcentral.
UGCGCCUACGGGGGGCAGCAGUGAGGAAUAUUGGUCAAUGGACGAGAGUCUGAACCAGCCAAGUAGCGUGAAGGAUGACUGCCCUAUGGGUUGUAAACUUCUUUUAUAUGGGAAUAAAGUGAGCCACGUGUGGCUUUUUGUAUGUACCAUACGAAUAAGGAUCGGCUAACUCCGUGCCAGCAGCCGCGGUAAUACGGAGGAUCCGAGCGUUAUCCGGAAUGAUUGGGCGUAAAGGGUGCGUAGGCGGCCUGCUAAGUCUGGAGUGAAAGGUACCGGCUCAACCGGUACAGGCUCUGGAAACUGGC